This 123-nucleotide non-coding RNA is filed under the name unclassified sequences. RNAcentral's name for it is "Betaproteobacteria-1 RNA". It matches the Rfam family "Betaproteobacteria-1 RNA". The record is from Rfam by way of RNAcentral.
GUUUAUAUCGGACGGCUAAAAACAUCAGCGAUAUAGAUACAAGCGCAACUGGGGGAUAGUAGAUGUAACAGCGCACAAAUCGGUGGCGAAGCUUAGAUCCGAUUCUACGAAAGUCUGGCGAGU